UCUACUUGGAGGUUGUGGCCUUGAGCCGUGGCUUUCGGAGCUAACGCGUUAAGUAGACCGCCUGGGGAGUACGGUCGCAAGAUUAAAACUCAAAUGAAUUGACGGGGGCCCGCACAAGCGGUGGAGCAUGUGGUUUAAUUCGAUGCAACGCGAAGAACCUUACCUACUCUUGACAUCCAGAGAACUUUCCAGAGAUGGAUUGGUGCCUUCGGGAACUCUGAGACAGGUGCUGCAUGGCUGUCGUCAGCUCGUGUUGUGAAAUGUUGGGUUAAGUCCCGCAACGAGCGCAACCCUUAUCCUUGUUUGCCAGCGAGUAAUGUCGGGAACUCCAGGGAGACUGCCGGUGAUAAACCGGAGGAAGGUGGGGACGACGUCAAGUCAUCAUGGCCCUUACGAGUAGGGCUACACACGUGCUACAAUGGCGCAUACAGAGGGCAGCAAGCUAGCGAUAGUGAGCGAAUCCCAAAAAGUGCGUCGUAGUCCGGAUUGGAGUCUGCAACUCGACUCCAUGAAGUCGGAAUCGCUAGUAAUCGUGGAUCAGAAUGCCACGGUGAAUACGUUCCCGGGCCUUGUACACACCGCCCGUCACACCAUGGGAGUGGGCUGCAAAAGAAGUAGGUAGUUUAACCUUCGGGAGGACGCUUACCACUUUGUGGUUCAUGACUGGGGUGAAGUCGUAACAAGGUAGCGCUAGGGGAACCUGGCGCUG
This 709-nucleotide ribosomal RNA is filed under the name Vibrio harveyi 1DA3. RNAcentral's name for it is "bacterial SSU rRNA". It matches the Rfam family "Bacterial small subunit ribosomal RNA", at positions 812 to 1520 of the family's 1533-position model. Lineage: Bacteria; Pseudomonadati; Pseudomonadota; Gammaproteobacteria; Vibrionales; Vibrionaceae. The record is from RNAcentral.